UCGUAACAAGGUCUCCGUUGGUGAACCAGCGGAGGGAUCAUUACAGAGUUGCAAAACUCCCAACCCUUUGUGAAUCAACUGGACAGUUGCCUCGGCGGGAGGCCCUUCAGGGGGCUGCCCGCCGGAGGACCACUAAACUCUUGUAUAUUUGGCCUCUCUGAGUAAUUCUAAAAUGAAUCAAAACUUUCAACAACGGAUCUCUUGGUUCUGGCAUCGAUGAAGAACGCAGCGAAAUGCGAUACGUAAUGUGAAUUGCAGAAUUCAGUGAAUCAUCGAAUCUUUGAACGCACAUUGCGCCCGCCAGCACUCUGGCGGGCAUGCCUGUUCGAGCGUCAUUUCAACCAUCAAGCCCCAGGCUUGUGUUGGAGCCCUGCGGCUGCCGCAGCCUCCUAAAAGCAGUGGCGGGCUCGCUAUCACACCGAGUGCAGUAGAUUUCUCUUCGCUCAGGGCGUGUGGCGGGUUCCAGCCGUGAAACCCCCUACUUUUAAGGUGACCUCGGAUC
Molecule: ribosomal RNA, 502 nt
Filed under: Cercophora sp. AX150
Lineage: Eukaryota; Fungi; Ascomycota; Sordariomycetes; Sordariales; Lasiosphaeriaceae
Description: eukaryotic LSU rRNA
Rfam family: 5.8S ribosomal RNA (bases 182-335)
Source: RNAcentral